RNAcentral lists this unclassified non-coding RNA (346 nucleotides) under soil metagenome. RNAcentral describes it as "partial contains 5.8S ribosomal RNA, internal transcribed spacer 2, and large subunit ribosomal RNA". The stretch from base 1 to 120 matches the Rfam family "5.8S ribosomal RNA", at positions 35 to 154 of the family's 154-position model. The record is from RNAcentral.
GAUGAAGAACGCAGCGAAAUGCGAUAAGUAAUGCGAAUUGCAGAAUCCGUGAGUCAUCGAAUCUUUGAACGCACAUUGCGCCCCUUGGUUAUUCCGAAGGGCAUGCCUGUUCGAGCGUCAUUAUCACCCCUCAAGCACGGCUUGUGUGUUGGGCCCCGCCCCCCGAUCCCGGGGGGCGGGCCCGAAAGGCAGCGGCGGCACCGCGUCCGGUCCUCGAGCGUAUGGGGCUUUGUCACCCGCUCUGUAGGCCCGGCCGGCGCUUGCCGAUCAACCAAACUUUUUUCCAGGUUGACCUCGGAUCAGGUAGGGAUACCCGCUGAACUUAAGCAUAUCAAUAAGCGGAGGA